RNAcentral lists this ribosomal RNA (435 nucleotides) under uncultured bacterium. Its description in RNAcentral is "partial 16S ribosomal RNA". It matches the Rfam family "Bacterial small subunit ribosomal RNA", at positions 29 to 507 of the family's 1533-position model. The record is from RNAcentral.
AGCGAACGCUGGCGGCAGGCUUAACACAUGCAAGUCGAGCGGGCAUCUUCGGAUGUCAGCGGCAGACGGGUGAGUAACACGUGGGAACGUACCCUUCGGUUCGGAACAACUCUGGGAAACUGGAGCUAAUACCGGAUACGCCCUUAUGGGGAAAGGUUUACUGCCGAAGGAUCGGCCCGCGUCUGAUUAUCUAGUUGGUGGGGUAACGGCCUACCAAGGCGACGAUCAGUAGCUGGUCUGAGAGGAUGAUCAGCCACACUGGGACUGAGACCCGGCCCAGACUCCUACGGGAGGCAGCAGGGGGGAAUAUUGGAAAAUGGGCGCAAGCCUGAUCCAGCCAUGCCGCGUGAGUGAUGAAGGCCUUAGGGUUGUAAAGCUCUUUUGUCCGGGACGAUAAUGACGGUACCGGAAGAAUAAGCCCCGGCUAACUUCGUG